AGGGUUUGAUCAUGGCUCAGAUUGAACGCUGGCGGCAUGCUUUACACAUGCAAGUCGGACGGCAGCAUAAAAGAGCUUGCUCUUUUGAUGGCGAGUGGCGAACGGGUGAGUAAUGCAUCGGAACGUACCGAGUAGUGGGGGAUAACUGUCCGAAAGGAUGGCUAAUACCGCAUAUUCUCUGAGGAGGAAAGCAGGGGACCUUAGGGCCUUGCGCUAUUUGAGCGGCCGAUGUCUGAUUAGCUAGUUGGUGGGGUAAGAGCCCACCAAGGCGACGAUCAGUAGCGGGUCUGAGAGGAUGAUCCGCCACACUGGGACUGAGACACGGCCCAGACUCCUACGGGAGGCAGCAGUGGGGAAUUUUGGACAAUGGGCGCAAGCCUGAUCCAGCCAUGCCGCGUGUAUGAAGAAGGCCUUCGGGCUGUAAAGUACUUUUGUCAGGGAAGAAAAGCCUGAGGAUAACACCCUCAGGUCAUGACGGUACCUGAAGAAUAAGCACCGGCUAACUACGUGCCAGCCGCCGCGGUAAUAC
This 529-nucleotide ribosomal RNA is filed under the name uncultured bacterium. Its description in RNAcentral is "bacterial SSU rRNA". It matches the Rfam family "Bacterial small subunit ribosomal RNA", at positions 8 to 526 of the family's 1533-position model. The record is from RNAcentral.